Molecule: ribosomal RNA, 492 nt
Filed under: uncultured bacterium
Lineage: Bacteria
Description: partial 16S ribosomal RNA
Rfam family: Bacterial small subunit ribosomal RNA
Source: RNAcentral
AUUGAACGCUGGCGGCAUGCUUUACACAUGCAAGUCGAACGGUAACAAGCCUUCGGGUGCUGACGAGUGGCGAACGGGUGAGUAAUGCAUCGGAACGUACCCAGAGGUGGGGGAUAACGCAGCGAAAGCUGUGCUAAUACCUCAUGUGAUCUGAGGAUGAAAGCGGGGGACCGAGCAGCAAUGUUUGGCCUCGCGCCUUUGGAGCGGCCGAUGUCGGAUUAGCUAGUUGGUGGGGUAAAGGCCUACCAAGGCGACGAUCCGUAGCUGGUCUGAGAGGACGACCAGCCACACUGGGACUGAGACACGGCCCAGACUCCUACGGGAGGCAGCAGUGGGGAAUUUUGGACAAUGGGCGCAAGCCUGAUCCAGCAAUGCCGCGUGCGGGAAGAAGGCCUUCGGGUUGUAAACCGCUUUUGGCAGGAACGAAACGGUGUCCGCUAAUACCGGGCGCUAAUGACGGUACCUGCAGAAUAAGCACCGGCUAACUACGUG